Molecule: ribosomal RNA, 240 nt
Filed under: Rhodomonas abbreviata
Lineage: Eukaryota; Cryptophyceae; Pyrenomonadales; Pyrenomonadaceae
Description: partial Eukaryotic large subunit ribosomal RNA
Rfam family: Eukaryotic large subunit ribosomal RNA
Source: RNAcentral
GGACGGUGGCCAUGGAAGUCGGAACCCGCUAAGGAGUGUGUAACAACCCACCUGCCGAAUGAACUAGCCCUGAAAAUGGAUGGCGCUGAAGCGGAUCACUUAUACUUGACCAACACAGCAAAUGCGAGGCUGUGUUGAGUAGGGAGGCGUGGGGCUCGUUGUGCAUUCUGUGGCGUAAGCCGGGAUGAAACGGGCUCUAGUGCAGAUCUUGGUAGCAGUAGCAAAUAUUCAAAUGAGAAC